This is a long non-coding RNA of Electrophorus electricus (electric eel), 238 nucleotides long. RefSeq lists it as uncharacterized. Lineage: Eukaryota; Metazoa; Chordata; Actinopteri; Gymnotiformes; Gymnotidae. The record is from RefSeq and is a predicted model, not a curated record.
CGCAGGCUUUAGCUUAUGCUAAUGGCAGGCUGGAGAGUGGCAGAGAGUUUGGCUGGAUCUGCCCGGCUGUGAGCUCAGGAAAGGAUCUGGCGCAAUGGAGGAGUCUGAGACGAACACCUCGGGGUGGAGGAUAUGUCACAGCAUGCCCCGCGCUCAGAUGGCCAGUGGACCGCAGAGGCCAAAAGGUUGCUUCCAUCUCUUCAGCUGGAAAUAUCAAAGUCAGAUUUGGUCAAAGAGC